GGGGUCCGGAAUGGGGGGACCUGAUCAGCCAUGCCGCGUGUGUGAAGAAGGCCUUUUGGUUGUAAAGCACUUUAAGCGAGGAGGAGGCUACCUAGAUUAAUACUCUGGGAUAGUGGACGUUACUCGCAGAAUAAGCACCGGCUAACUCUGUGCCAGCAGCCGCGGUAAUACAGAGGGUGCAAGCGUUAAUCGGAUUUACUGGGCGUAAAGCGUGCGUAGGUGGCCAAUUAAGUCAAAUGUGAAAUCCCCGAGCUUAACUUGGGAAUUGCAUUCGAUACUGGUUGGCUAGAGUAUGGGAGAGGAUGGUAGAAUUCCAGGUGUAGCGGUGAAAUGCGUAGAGAUCUGGAGGAAUACCGAUGGCGAAGGCAGCCAUCUGGCCUAAUACUGACACUGAGGUACGAAAGCAUGGGGAGCAAACAGGAUUAGAUACCCUGGUAGUC
RNAcentral lists this ribosomal RNA (440 nucleotides) under uncultured bacterium. RNAcentral describes it as "bacterial SSU rRNA". It matches the Rfam family "Bacterial small subunit ribosomal RNA", at positions 358 to 795 of the family's 1533-position model. The record is from RNAcentral.